Molecule: ribosomal RNA, 394 nt
Filed under: uncultured bacterium
Lineage: Bacteria
Description: bacterial SSU rRNA
Rfam family: Bacterial small subunit ribosomal RNA
Source: RNAcentral
UACCAGGCCUUGACAUCCAAUGAACUUUCCAGAGAUGGAUUGGUGCCUUCGGGAACAUUGAGACAGGUGCUGCAUGGCUGUCGUCAGCUCGUGUCGUGAGAUGUUGGGUUAAGUCCCGUAACGAGCGCAACCCUUGUCCUUAGUUACCAGCACGUAAUGGUGGGCACUCUAAGGAGACUGCCGGUGGCAAACCGGAGGAAGGUGGGGAUGACGCCAAGUCACCAUGGCCCUUACGGCCUGGGCUACACACGUGCUACAAUGGUCGGUACAGAGGGUUGCCAAGCCGCGAGGUGGAGCUAAUCCCAUAAAACCGAUCGUAGUCCGGAUCGCAGUCUGCAACUCGACUGCGUGAAGUCGGAAUCGCUAGUAAUCGCGAAUCAGAAUGUCGCGGUGA